Molecule: ribosomal RNA, 515 nt
Filed under: Pedioplanis serodioi
Lineage: Eukaryota; Metazoa; Chordata; Lepidosauria; Squamata; Lacertidae
Description: partial large subunit ribosomal RNA
Rfam family: Bacterial large subunit ribosomal RNA
Source: RNAcentral
AGCCUUUAGCCUAACAAGUAUUAAAGGUCUAACCUGCCCAGUGACUAUCUUAAACGGCCGCGGUAUCCUAACCGUGCAAAGGUAGCAUAAUCACUUGUCCCCUAAAUAGGGACUAGAAUGAACGGUCAAAUGAGGACUUAACUGUCUCUUACGUAUAACCAAUAAAACUGAUCUCUCAGUCAAAAAGCUGAGAUAAAAACAUAAGACGAGAAGACCCUGUGGAGCUUCAAACCAAACCCAAGCCAAAUGGAGCUCGGUUUUUAGUUGGGGCGACUUCGGAGUACAAAAAAACCUCCGACACAAACUAUAUAAAGACCUACACGUCAACAUAUCCUUAUCACGACCCGGUGUUAAUAAAACAUCCGAUCAAUGAACCAAGUUACCCCAGGGAUAACAGCGCCAUCCCCUUCUAGAGUCCUUAUCGACAAGGGGGUUUACGACCUCGAUGUUGGAUCAGGACACCCAAAUAGUGCAGCCGCUAUUAAAGGUUCGUUUGUUCAACGAUUAAUAGUCCU